Molecule: long non-coding RNA, 1322 nt
Filed under: Homo sapiens (human)
Lineage: Eukaryota; Metazoa; Chordata; Mammalia; Primates; Hominidae
Description: HSALNT0271609
Source: RNAcentral
CAGGAACACCUCGAAUACUCACUUCAUCAAGUCUCUGCAGACCAAAACCCAUCUCUGCUAACCAUACCCAUCUUAAAGAUACAGGAACAACUGCCAUGUUGUGGAGAGAGCAGAAAACAGCAGGCAAUCUCCCAGCCCUGAGAAUGGCCUCCUCUUCCCAACAGCCAGCAGGAAGGCUGGAAUCUCAGUCCUACGACCAAAAGAAACUCUAUUCUAACAGGCCAAAUCAGUCUGGAAGAAGAUCUUAAGCUUCAGCUCACAGAUUCUCUGCCUGUGUCGUAUGGCUAUUGCCAGGGGAUGAACGAGGGUUGCUCUUCGCAAUUCAAGACUGUCUUUCCUACCCUCUUCAGUGCCUCUUGAUGUUAAAACCAGAUGCAGAAAGGUAUUUGAAGAUAUGCAAUAAUUCAAAAGCGUAUUACGUGGAAGGAUGAAUCCAAUUCCUGUUAUAUCAUUUUGGCCAGUAAAGAAAACUAACACAAGAACAGAAAACCAAACAUCGCAUGUUCUCACUCAUAAGUGGGAGUUGAACAAUGAGAACACUUGGCCCCCGGGAGGGUGGACAUCCCACACUGGGGCCUGUCGGGGGGUGGGGGGCUAGGGGAGGGAUAGCAUUAGGAGAAAUACCUAAUGUAUAUGACGGGUUGAUGGGUGCAGCAAACCACCAUGGCACGUGUAUACCUAUGUAACAAACCUGCACGUCCUGCACAUGUACCCCAGAACUUAAAAUAUAAUAAAAAAAGAAGGCACAACUUUUAUUUUUUUUAGCAUUUCUUUUGUAAGCAUGUGUUUUAUAUACUUUAUGCUAUGCAGACAUUAGUCAGUGUUUUUAGCAACUUCCAGAAAAUACAUGAGGAGAGUGUACUUUUGAAGCUAAAAUACAUGGCUUCAAUUAUGUUUUGAAAUGAAAGACUUUUGUUGUAAAAUUGUUGAAUUCUUCAUUAAAUGACUCGGGUUUUAAGACAGCUGUAAUAAUAACUAACAUUACAUUACUAAUGUGAUUAUGAUCUUCCUGUGUAUUACAAACUAUAUUUCAUGCUGGGUGAUGGGACUUAGGGCUUACUGUGAGAUGAUUCUAGCUUCAUAGCCCAGAUUGCUGGUUAUUAGACUCCAGCUCAUACGGCAUCACUCUUUCUUAUUCUUAGCAAGAACAUGGACAAGUUUUCAUUUUCAGUGUACCUUCCUCACCCUACAGAACGGUUGAGAGGUUAUAUCUUAGGCCUGUUAAAAUCAUGGUUGCUUUCAGCCGGGCCAGUGGCUUAUGCCUGUAAUCCCACCACCUUGGAAGGCUGAGGCGGGAGGAUCAUGAGGUCAGGAGAUCGAGA